CACCCCAGCAGAAGAUCCCUGGCAACCGCACAGGGGUUCGGAGCUGACCGGGCAGCCCGAGCGGAGGGGAGUGUUAGGGGGAGGUUCUUGAGCAGAGGAGGGAUGAGACCUGACUCGGGUGUUCAGAGGCACCCUGUGGUCACUGUGGGGGAACAGCGUGAAGGUCAAGAGCAGUAGCCAGACACCAGGAAGGAGGGGACUGGCUGAUCCAGGUGAUAGAUGCUGGCAGCUGCUGGACCCCAGGACAUUGCCAGAGAGGCACCAGAGAGGUGGUGAAGGGUCCUGGCUCCAGGCAGGAUCAGGACUGGGGCAAGGCAGGCGAGGCACUGGACUGGCCUGGCAAGACGUAAGAGGAGGCCAACAAUAUCAGUGACUCAGAUAGGUGCCACUGUUGUGUGACAUUUCAAAACCCCAGCUUUCCUGCAACAGUAUCCAUAAUGAUCAACUUUUAAAAAUGACGGCAGGGACUGGGAAUGUAGCCCGGUGGCAGAGUGCUCGCCUAGCACGCAGGCAAGGCCCUGAGAUCCAUCCCUGGUGAAGAGACAGACUCACUGACAAGGCCAUGAUGGAGCCAGAGUGUGAAGAAAAGUCACCCAGACCGAAGCCAUUUGUUUUAAAUGGAAGAUUUUGAUAUGUUGUU
Long non-coding RNA from Sciurus carolinensis (gray squirrel), 640 nucleotides. RefSeq lists it as uncharacterized. The record is from RefSeq and is a predicted model, not a curated record. The transcript is spliced from 3 exons. Lineage: Eukaryota; Metazoa; Chordata; Mammalia; Rodentia; Sciuridae.